CUCAUUUAAAGAGUGCGUAAUAGCUCACUGGUCGAGUGAUUGUGCGCCGAAAAUGUAACGGGGCUAAAAUUCAUACCGAAGCUUAGGCUUUGCACACUUUGUGUGCGAGGGGUAGAUGAGCGUUGUGUAAGUCUGCGAAGCUACACCGAAAGGAGUAGUGGAGAUAUCACAAGUGAGAAUGCCGGAAUGAGUAGCGAGAAUUAUGUGAGAAUCAUAAUGGCCGAAAAUCUAAGGUUUCUUGAGGAAGGUUCGUCCGCUCAAGGUAAGCCGGGAGCUAAGGCGAGGCCGAGAGGCGUAGUCGAUGCACAUACGGUAAAGAUUCCGUAGCCACCGAAGUCGUUAAAUACAGGGACACAGGAACAUAGCCUAACCCCACCGUUGGUUGAGUGGGGCGUAAGGGAGCGAAAAUUAGUAGCGAAGUAGGUGAUUGUACACUGGCGAGAAAAGCUGUAUGAAUUGACAAGGUGCCCGUACCGCAAACCGACACAGGUAGAUGAGGAGAGAAUCCUAAGACCAGCGGGAGAAGUGUUGUUAAGGAACUCGGCAAAAUGACCCCGUAACUUCGGGAUAAGGGGAGCCUACGCGAGUAGGCCGCAGAGAAUAGUCUCAAGCGACUGUUUAGCAAAAACACAGGUCUAUGCUAAAUCGAAAGAUGAUGUAUAUGGGCUGACGCCUGCCCGGUGCUGGAAGGUUAAGGGGAAGUGUUAGAGCAAUCGAAGCACUGAACUUAAGCCCCAGUAAACGGCGGCCGUAACUAUAACGGUCCUAAGGUAGCGAAAUUCCUUGUCAGGUAAGUUCUGACCCGCACGAAUGGCGUAACGACUUGAGAGCUGUCUCAACAACAUACCCGGCGAAAUUGAAGUACUGGUAAAGAUGCCAGUUACCCGUGAUAAGACGGAAAGACCCCAUGGAGCUUUACUGUAACUUGAUAUUGAAUUUUUGUAUUACAUGUACAGGAUAGGUGGGAGACAGAGAACUAAUGCCGCCAGGUGUUAGGGAGUCGAUGUUGGGAUACCACUCUUGUAAUAUGAAGGUUCUAACCUGCACCCGUGAAUCCGGGUGGGGGACACUGUCAGGUGGACAGUUUGACUGGGGCGGUCGCCUCCUAAAAGGUAACGGAGGCGUUCAAAGGUUGGUUCAGCACGGACGGAAAUCGUGCAACGAGUGCAAACGCAUAAACCAGCCUAACUGCGAGACCGACAGGUCGAGCAGUAACGAAAGUUGGAGUUAGUGAUCCGGCGG
Molecule: ribosomal RNA, 1242 nt
Filed under: human gut metagenome
Description: bacterial LSU rRNA
Rfam family: Bacterial large subunit ribosomal RNA
Source: RNAcentral